GUAACCUUUAAAGUGUUCUGUUCAUAAUUCAAGGAAGAAUUUAACUUUAAUUGGAUUUUUUUUCCAAUUGGCCAAAAAUUUCCACAAAACACUAUUUUGCACUGCGUUUACACCGACAUUGCACUCUGUAUGCUGGCCGUUCCGAAUUGCACAAUGAUGAACAAUGGCCGCCGAUGGAACGCUGUUUCGCCAGGUCAUUGUCUGCUCGUUGUUUAUUCUGCAAAAGAUAUCAAUCGGCAAAUGAAUGACUGACGAAGGACGACAUCGGCAACUGGGUCUGAUAGAAAAGUGUCAGUUCAGUGUCCAAAAACAAAAAAAAGAAAAAAUAAAAUAAAAACUUCAUUCCAGAGAUUGCUGCUGCCAUUCUACGGCUGAUGGUUGGUGGUGGUUGUAGUAGCAGGCAGCUGCGAUAGUGGUGGUAUUGUU
Musca domestica (house fly) is the source of this 426-nucleotide long non-coding RNA. RefSeq lists it as uncharacterized. The transcript is spliced from 3 exons. Lineage: Eukaryota; Metazoa; Arthropoda; Insecta; Diptera; Muscidae. The record is from RefSeq and is a predicted model, not a curated record.